This 293-nucleotide ribosomal RNA is filed under the name uncultured bacterium. RNAcentral's name for it is "partial 16S ribosomal RNA". The record is from RNAcentral.
GGACUACAGGGGUUUCUAAUCCUGUUUGCUACCCACGCUUUCGCUCCUCAGCGUCAGUUCCGGCCCAGACCACCGCCUUCGCCACUGGUGUUCCUCCUGAUAUCUGCGCAUUUCACCGCUACACCAGGAAUUCCGUGGUCCCCUACCGGACUCAAGCCAUGGCAGUAUCGAGUGGCCGCUCCAGGUUGAGCCUGAAGUUUUCACACCCGACUUGCCAAGCCGCCUACGAGCUCUUUACGCCCAAUAAAUCCGGACAACGCUUGCCCCCUACGUAUUACCGCGGCUGCUGGCAC